RNAcentral lists this unclassified non-coding RNA (330 nucleotides) under soil metagenome. RNAcentral describes it as "partial contains 5.8S ribosomal RNA, internal transcribed spacer 2, and large subunit ribosomal RNA". The stretch from base 1 to 120 matches the Rfam family "5.8S ribosomal RNA", at positions 35 to 154 of the family's 154-position model. The record is from RNAcentral.
GAUGAAGAACGCAGCAAAAUGCGAUAAGUAAUGUGAAUUGCAGAAUUCAGUGAAUCAUCGAAUCUUUGAACGCACAUUGCGCCCGCCAGUAUUCUGGCGGGCAUGCCUGUUCGAGCGUCAUUUCAACCCUCAAGCACAGCUUGGUGUUGGGACUCGCGUUAAUUCGCGUUCCCCAAAUUGAUUGGCGGUCACGUCGAGCUUCCAUAGCGUAGUAGUAAAACCCUCGUUACUGGUAAUCGUCGCGGCCACGCCGUUAAACCCCAACUUCUGAAUGUUGACCUCGGAUCAGGUAGGAAUACCCGCUGAACUUAAGCAUAUCAAUAAGCAGGA